Molecule: ribosomal RNA, 935 nt
Filed under: Enterobacter ludwigii
Lineage: Bacteria; Pseudomonadati; Pseudomonadota; Gammaproteobacteria; Enterobacterales; Enterobacteriaceae
Description: bacterial SSU rRNA
Rfam family: Bacterial small subunit ribosomal RNA
Source: RNAcentral
GUAACGGUUUUAAAUGUGAGUAAUGUGUGGGAAACUGGCUGAUGGGGGGGGAGAAAUACCGGAAACGGGUACUAAUACCGUAUAUGUUUCCUGGACCAAAGAGGGGGACCUUCGGGCCUCUUGCCAUCAGAUGUGCCCAGAUGGGAUUAGCUAGUAGGUGGGGUAACGGCUCACCUAGGCGACGAUCCCUAGCUGGUCUGAGAGGAUGACCAGCCACACUGGAACUGAGACACGGUCCAGACUCCUACGGGAGGCAGCAGUGGGGAAUAUUGCACAAUGGGCGCAAGCCUGAUGCAGCCAUGCCGCGUGUAUGAAGAAGGCCUUCGGGUUGUAAAGUACUUUCAGCGGGGAGGAAGGCGUUGAGGUUAAUAACCUCAGCGAUUGACGUUACCCGCAGAAGAAGCACCGGCUAACUCCGUGCCAGCAGCCGCGGUAAUACGGAGGGUGCAAGCGUUAAUCGGAAUUACUGGGCGUAAAGCGCACGCAGGCGGUCUGUCAAGUCGGAUGUGAAAUCCCCGGGCUCAACCUGGGAACUGCAUUCGAAACUGGCAGGCUAGAGUCUUGUAGAGGGGGGUAGAAUUCCAGGUGUAGCGGUGAAAUGCGUAGAGAUCUGGAGGAAUACCGGUGGCGAAGGCGGCCCCCUGGACAAAGACUGACGCUCAUGUGCGAAAGCGUGGGGAGCAAACAAGAUUAGAUACCUCUGAUAGUCCACGCCGUACACGAUGUCGACUUGGGAGGUUGUGCCCUUUGAGGCGUGUCUUCCGGAGCUAACGCGUUAAGUCGACCGCCUGGGGAGUACGGGCCGCAAGGUUAAAACUCAUGAUGAAAUUGACGGGGGCCCGCACGAGCCGCUGGCAGCAUGUGGAUUUAAUUGCUGAUGCUAUCGCGAAGAACCUUACCAUACUCUUGACAUCCAUGAGACUUACCAGAGAUGC